AUAUGGCUCAGGAUGAACGCUAGCUACAGGUUUAACACAUGCAAGUCGAGGGGCAGCAUGGUCUUAGCUUGCUAAGGCCGAUGGCGACCGGCGCACGGGUGAGUAACGCGUAUCCAACCUGCCUUACACUCUUGGACAGCCUUCUGAAAGGGAGAUUAAUACAAGAUGUUAUCAUGAGUAAGCAUUUUCGCAUGAUUAAAGGUUUACCGGUGUAAGAUGGGGAUGCGUCCCA
Molecule: ribosomal RNA, 232 nt
Filed under: uncultured bacterium
Lineage: Bacteria
Description: partial 16S ribosomal RNA
Rfam family: Bacterial small subunit ribosomal RNA
Source: RNAcentral